Molecule: long non-coding RNA, 656 nt
Organism: Phyllostomus discolor (pale spear-nosed bat)
Lineage: Eukaryota; Metazoa; Chordata; Mammalia; Chiroptera; Phyllostomidae
Exons: 2
Source: RefSeq, a predicted model, not a curated record
AAGUUGUUAGUUUUGACUUAGUUGAAUAUUUUUUAUAUUACUUUCUUUUCAAAAGGACUUGUGGAAACUGCUAAAAUCUAAUACAAUAAUACUAAGUCAUUCAUAAAAAAUUUAAAAGCUAAGUAAGAAGGGAGCAAAUGAAUGGAAGAGGAUUUUUCAAUAAUUUUAGACUGAGAAAGCCUUUAACAGUCAAGCUCGGACCUUUGUGUUGAACUAGUGAUCUAGGAACAGUAGUAGUACCUUACGAGGUUACUUCCUUUAAAAUUUUUUUUAAAAAUUGAUUUUAUUUGUUGUUCUACUUAUUUAUGCAUUCAUUCAUUGGUUGCUUUUUGCAUGUGUCCUGCCUGGAGAUUGAACCCAUAGCCUUGAAGCACUGGGACAGAGCUCUCUAGCCAACUGAGUUCCUGCCCGGGGCUGUGCUUACUUUCUUGUAGCUUAAAAAUGAUAGGAGGCAUAACUGUUUUGAUGCAUAGACAUUUUGAUGUAGUUUUGAAAGAUUUUAUCAUUUUUAGUGCCAAACUAUGUAAACAGAUAAAAUCACUCCAGGAGUGGGGACCAGGGAUGAAGUGAGAGAUACAGAGAUAAAGUGUAGGGUAUGGGUUCCCCCUGGUGGACAAACUAAAAAUAAUCCAGAGUCAUAAGUUUACCGUACUGAU